AACUUUUAGCAACGGAUCUCUUGGUUCUGGCAUCGAUGAAGAACGCAGCGAAAUGCGAUAAGUAAUGUGAAUUGCAGAAUUCAGUGCAUCAUCGAAUCUGUGAACGCAUAUUGCGCCCUUUGGCAUUCCGAAGGGCAUACCUGUUCGAGCGUCAUUACACCCCUCAAAGAUAACUCUUUGGCGGUGGGCAAUGCCUAAAGGCAUGCCUCAAAAUCAGCGAUGGUGAUAUUCAACCACAGGCGCACAAACGUCGUCUAGCUGGCGGGAUGUUAUCAGUCAAUUGAUGAAUUUCUAAAUGUUGACCUCGGAUCAGGUAGGAAUACCCGCUGAACUUAAGCAUAUCAAUAGCGGAGGC
This 355-nucleotide unclassified non-coding RNA is filed under the name uncultured Parmelia. RNAcentral describes it as "sequence contains ITS2". The stretch from base 1 to 154 matches the Rfam family "5.8S ribosomal RNA". The record is from RNAcentral. Lineage: Eukaryota; Fungi; Ascomycota; Lecanoromycetes; Lecanorales; Parmeliaceae.